GACGAACGCUGGCGGCGUGCCUAAUACAUGCAAGUCGAACGCACUCUCGUUUAGAUUGAAGGAGCUUGCUCCUGAUUGAUAAACAUUUGAGUGAGUGGCGGACGGGUGAGUAACACGUGGGUAACCUGCCCUAAAGUGGGGGAUAACAUUUGGAAACAGAUGCUAAUACCGCAUAAAACCUAACACCGCAUGGUGUAGGGUUGAAAGAUGGUUUCGGCUAUCACUUUAGGAUGGACCCGCGGUGCAUUAGUUAGUUGGUGAGGUAAAGGCUCACCAAGACCGUGAUGCAUAGCCGACCUGAGAGGGUAAUCGGCCACACUGGGACUGAGACACGGGCCCAGACUCCUACGGGAGCAGCAGUAGGGAAUCUUCCACAAUGGACGAAAGUCUGAUGGAGCAACGCCGCGUGAGUGAAGAAGUUUCGGAUCGUAAAAACUCUGUUGUUGGAGAA
This 451-nucleotide ribosomal RNA is filed under the name uncultured bacterium. RNAcentral describes it as "bacterial SSU rRNA". It matches the Rfam family "Bacterial small subunit ribosomal RNA", at positions 28 to 446 of the family's 1533-position model. The record is from RNAcentral.